UUGAAGAGUUUGAUCAUGGCUCAGAUUGAACGCUGGCGGCAGGCCUAACACAUGCAAGUCGAACGGUAACAGGAAUCAGCUUGCUGAUUUGCUGACGAGUGGCGGACGGGUGAGUAAUGUCUGGGAAACUGCCUGAUGGAGGGGGAUAACUACUGGAAACGGUAGCUAAUACCGCAUAACGUCGCAAGACCAAAGAGGGGGACCUUCGGGCCUCUUGCCAUCGGAUGUGCCCAGAUGGGAUUAGCUAGUAGGUGGGGUAACGGCUCACCUAGGCGACGAUCCCUAGCUGGUCUGAGAGGAUGACCAGCCACACUGGAACUGAGACACGGUCCAGACUCCUACGGGAGGCAGCAGUGGGGAAUAUUGCACAAUGGGCGCAAGCCUGAUGCAGCCAUGCCGCGUGUAUGAAGAAGGCCUUCGGGUUGUAAAGUACUUUCAGCGGGGAGGAAGGGAGUAAAGUUAAUACCUUUGCUCAUUGACGUUACCCGCAGAAGAAGCACCGGCUAACUCCGUGCCAGCAGCCGCGGUAAUACGGAGGGUGCAAGCGUUAAUCGGAAUUACUGGGCGUAAAGCGCACGCAGGCGGUUUGUUAAGUCAGAUGUGAAAUCCCCGGGCUCAACCUGGGAACUGCAUCUGAUACUGGCAAGCUUGAGUCUCGUAGAGGGGGGUAGAAUUCCAGGUGUAGCGGUGAAAUGCGUAGAGAUCUGGAGGAAUACCGGUGGCGAAGGCGGCCCCCUGGACGAAGACUGACGCUCAGGUGCGAAAGCGUGGGGAGCAAACAGGAUUAGAUACCCUGGUAGUCCACGCCGUAAACGAUGUCGACUUGGAGGUUGUGCCCUUGAGGCGUGGCUUCCGGAGCUAACGCGUUAAGUCGACCGCCCGGGGUACGGCCGCAAGGUUAAAACUCAAAUGAAUUGACGGGGCCCGCACAAGCGGUGGAGCAUGUGGUUUAAUUCGAUGCAACGCGAAGAACGGUCUUGACAUCCACGGAAGUUUUCAGAGAUGAGAAUGUGCCUUCGGGAACCGUGAGACAGGUGCUGCAUGGCUGUCGUCAGCUCGUGUUGUGAAAUGUUGGGUUAAGUCCCGCAACGAGAAGUUUCAGGAGACUGCCAGGAGAAGGUGGGGAUGACAAGUCUCAUGGGAACCGUGCUAGACAAAGGAAGCGUCGCGAGAGGCUCAUAAAGUCGUCGUAGUCUCGCAACUGACUCCAUGUCGGAAUCGCUAGUAAUCGUGGUCACAAUACGUCCACGCACACCAUGGGAGUGGGUUGCAAAAGUAGGUAGCUUAACCUUCGGGAGGGCGCUUACCACUUUGUGAUUCAUGACUGGGGUGAAGUCGUAACAAGGUAACCGUAGGGGAACCUG
This 1364-nucleotide ribosomal RNA is filed under the name Escherichia coli. RNAcentral describes it as "16S ribosomal RNA". It matches the Rfam family "Bacterial small subunit ribosomal RNA". Lineage: Bacteria; Pseudomonadati; Pseudomonadota; Gammaproteobacteria; Enterobacterales; Enterobacteriaceae. The record is from RNAcentral.